GCAUCCCCCGAAGGUGGCCCCUAGUUGCCAACUAUGACCUUUUGCCGGAUAAGCAGAGAGCGAAAAAGUUACUGGUCAAUGCUAGAAAAACUCAGGUCAUAACUUUCGAAACUACUCCAGCACCAACAGUCCUACCCCCCUCCCGCAGCGCAAAUCUUUGCCCUGUGAGUCAUUAAAGAUCAAUUAGAUAAAGAUACAUUUAUCAACAAUUCAAUCAACUUAUUUAAUGACAGUGGAAACAGACAAGAGUACUAGUCACGCAGAUAGAUUUUUUUUUUUUUUUAGUAAACGAGCAUAAUAUAUUCAU
Molecule: long non-coding RNA, 307 nt
Filed under: Aquilegia coerulea
Lineage: Eukaryota; Viridiplantae; Streptophyta; Magnoliopsida; Ranunculales; Ranunculaceae
Description: long non-coding RNA (ACOE_LNC001472)
Source: RNAcentral